GUAGGUGGCAAGCGUUGUCCGGAAUUAUUGGGCGUAAAGCGCGCGCAGGCGGUUCUUUAAGUCUGAUGUGAAAGCCCACGGCUCAACCGUGGAGGGUCAUUGGAAACUGGAGAACUUGAGUACAGAAGAGGAAAGCGGAAUUCCACGUGUAGCGGUGAAAUGCGUAGAGAUGUGGAGGAACACCAGUGGCGAAGGCGGCUUUCUGGUCUGUAACUGACGCUGAGGCGCGAAAGCGUGGGGAGCAAAUAGGGAUUAGAUACCCUGGUAGUCCACGCCGUAAACGAUGAGUGCUAAGUGUUAGGGGGUUUCCGCCCCCUUAGUGCUGCAGCUAACGCAUUAAGCACUCCGCCUGGGGAUACGGCCGCAAGGCUG
RNAcentral lists this ribosomal RNA (372 nucleotides) under uncultured organism. RNAcentral describes it as "partial 16S ribosomal RNA". It matches the Rfam family "Bacterial small subunit ribosomal RNA", at positions 527 to 896 of the family's 1533-position model. The record is from RNAcentral.